Molecule: ribosomal RNA, 400 nt
Filed under: Bacillus anthracis (anthrax bacterium)
Lineage: Bacteria; Bacillati; Bacillota; Bacilli; Caryophanales; Bacillaceae
Description: bacterial SSU rRNA
Rfam family: Bacterial small subunit ribosomal RNA
Source: RNAcentral
AGGGCAGUGCGGCGUGCUAUACAUGCAGUCGAGCGAAUGGAUUAAGAGCUUGCUCUUAUGAAGUUAGCGGCGGACGGGUGAGUAACACGUGGGUAACCUGCCCAUAAGACUGGGAUAACUCCGGGAAACCGGGGCUAAUACCGGAUAACAUUUUGAACCGCAUGGUUCGAAAUUGAAAGGCGGCUUCGGCUGUCACUUAUGGAUGGACCCGCGUCGCAUUAGCUAGUUGGUGAGGUAACGGCUCACCAAGGCAACGAUGCGUAGCCGACCUGAGAGGGUGAUCGGCCACACUGGGACUGAGACACGGCCCAGACUCCUACGGGAGGCAGCAGUAGGGAAUCUUCCGCAAUGGACGAAAGUCUGACGGAGCAACGCCGCGUGAGUGAUGAAGGCUUUCGGG